UACGAAGGGGGCUAGCGUUGCUCGGAAUUACUGGGCGUAAAGGGAGCGUAGGCGGACAUUUAAGUCAGGGGUGAAAUCCCGGAGCUCAACUCCGGAACUGCCUUUGAUACUGGGUGUCUUGAGUGUGAGAGAGGUAUGUGGAACUCCGAGUGUAGAGGUGAAAUUCGUAGAUAUUCGGAAGAACACCAGUGGCGAAGGCGACAUACUGGCUCAUUACUGACGCUGAGGCUCGAAAGCGUGGGGAGCAAACAGG
Molecule: ribosomal RNA, 253 nt
Filed under: uncultured bacterium
Lineage: Bacteria
Description: partial 16S ribosomal RNA
Rfam family: Bacterial small subunit ribosomal RNA
Source: RNAcentral